This 301-nucleotide ribosomal RNA is filed under the name uncultured bacterium. Its description in RNAcentral is "partial 16S ribosomal RNA". It matches the Rfam family "Bacterial small subunit ribosomal RNA", at positions 509 to 807 of the family's 1533-position model. The record is from RNAcentral.
CAGUCGCCGCGGUAAUACGAAGGGGGCUAGCGUUACUCGGAAUUACUGGGCGUAAAGGGCGCGUAGGCGGCACGAUUAGUCAGGCGUGAAGUUCCUGGGCUCAACCUGGGGACUGCGCUUGAUACGGUCGAGCUAGAGCAUGGAAGAGGGUCGUGGAAUUCCCAGUGUAGAGGUGAAAUUCGUAGAUAUUGGGAAGAACACCGGUGGCGAAGGCGGCGACCUGGUCCAUUACUGACGCUGAGGCGCGACAGCGUGGGGAGCAAACAGGAUUAGAUACCCCCGUAGUCCCUGUCUCUUAUAC